This 1728-nucleotide ribosomal RNA is filed under the name Triticum aestivum (bread wheat). Its description in RNAcentral is "partial small subunit ribosomal RNA". Lineage: Eukaryota; Viridiplantae; Streptophyta; Magnoliopsida; Poales; Poaceae. The record is from RNAcentral.
AUGGCCGCCGCCUCGCCGCCGCCCUCCCCGCCCCAUCCAAAGCGCCCCAAGAUGUCCUCCUCCUCCGACCCCGAGCCGGAGCCCACCUCGCUGUCUGCCGCCGGGGCCGAUCCCGGGCAGCCUCGCCGCCGCUACAAGCGCCGCAAGGUGGCCAUCAUCCUGGCCUACUGCGGCGCGGGGUAUCAGGGUAUGCAGAAGAAUCCGGGCGCGCGCACCAUCGAGGGCGAUCUCGAGGAGGCGCUCUACCAGGCGGGCGCCGUCCCGGAAGCCGACCGUGCCGCGCCCGCCCGAUACGAGUGGGCACGCGCAGCGCGCACCGAUAAGGGCGUGAGCGCCGCCGCGCAAGUUGUCUCCGGACGCUUCUACGUCGACCCGCCGGGAUUCAUCGACCGCCUGAAUGCGAAACUCGCGCCACAGAUCCGGGCCUUUGGCUACGUGCGCGUCACCAACUCCUUCAGCGCUAAGAAGUUCUGCGACCGCCGGAGGUAUGUGUACCUGCUCCCCGUCUUGGCGCUCGACCCCAGCGCACACCCAGACCGCGAGGCUGUCAAGGCAAGCGCGGGGAGUGAGAACCAACUUGCGAAGUGCGUGGAGUGCUCCGAGAGGGGGAGGAAGGUGCCAGAUAUUAUGGGCCGGGAGGGGAAGUUGCCCGACUCCGAGGAGGAGAAGGUUCUUGAUACGCCUGGAGAGGAAACUGUGGCCUCUCAUGGAGAAUUAGGGGAUGCAAAAUCUGUUCCAGCAAGCCCUGUUACUGAGACUUGUGAUGGCGAGACUAGGCUGGGGGGUGAUGUAAUGAUUGAUAUACCGAGCUCUGGUAAUGGAACAGAAGCUCAAAAUGCUGAACUGGGAUCAAAUGGGGCAGGAAAAUUUGAUAUUGAACCUGCACUUGGUACUUGCGAUUCUGAAGCUGUACCAACCAGCGCCAGUGAGACCAUCUGUUCUGAUUCAACCUUAGGUUCAGUUGAUGUCGUUGCUUCAGUUGUAGCUGAGAAGGAGAAUAAUUUUGAGCCUGCAGAUAGUGAAAAGGAGAGAAUGCAAGCUAUAAAUAUUCAGAAGGAGAAUGGAGAAGAAAGUCCCCUUCUGAAAAACACAUUUGCUUACACUGAUGAAGUUAAAGAGAAGUUCAAUAGGAUCCUCAAGCAUUAUGUUGGAACCCGCAAUUUCCACAACUUCACCACAAGAACUAAGGCUGAGGAUCCUGCAGCCAAGAGGUACAUCAUUUCCUUCACUGCCAAUAGCGUUGUUAGUCUGGAUGGGAUUGAUUUUGUCAGAUGUGAGGUUGUCGGGCAGAGUUUCAUGCUUCAUCAGAUCCGGAAGAUGGUUGGCCUUGCUGUAGCAGUGAUGAGGAACUGUGCACCUGAGUCAAUCUAUGACGUUGCCUUCCGCAAGGAUAUCAGACUUAAUGUGCCUACUGCACCCGAGGUUGGACUGCACCUUGAUGAAUGCAUGUUUACCUCAUAUAACUCAAAAUGGAUGGAUACACAUGAGGCAGUUUCAAUUGAACCCUAUGCUGAGGAGGCUGAAGAGUUCAAGAUCAAGUACAUCUUCCCUCAUAUUGCUGCAAUGGAACACAAGGAGGGAGCUGUAGCACUCUGGUUGCAUGCGUUGAACAGCAGAAACUAUCCAGAUUUCCGCUACAUGGAGACUGCUGGAUCUGAGGCAAAGGUUGGGGCUGAAGUUGAGAAUAUGGAAGAAGUGCAAAUGCCAAGUAAUAAUAUAAGCGAGUAA